RNAcentral lists this long non-coding RNA (540 nucleotides) under Homo sapiens (human). RNAcentral's name for it is "HSALNT0361251". The record is from RNAcentral. Lineage: Eukaryota; Metazoa; Chordata; Mammalia; Primates; Hominidae.
GGGGGUGCUGGGUUGGAGAAUGUGACAGAGGACAAGAAUAGAAUACAGUUAUAGAACUGGAAUUCGCUUUUUCAUGCUAAUUUCCCUGAAUACGUUCCAGAGGACAAGGACUGUGUUGUUCAUCACAGUAUUCCAGAACUUAAAAGGAACUGGCACAUAAUUGGAGCUUACUAAUAUUCGUCAAAAAAAUGAACAAAUGAGGCAAUGACAGUGGUCUUGUGAAGCUGCUGCUAUUUACAGGGACUCACUCAUUCCGCAAGUAUUUUUUGCACCUCCUACCACACUCCACUCAGUUACAUGCUGGGAAUACCACAGUAAAGAAGAGCUGUUUAUCCCUCUUCUCAUUUCUGCCCCGCUCUGAGCCCUGAGUUUUAGUGCCAGUGCUUUUACACAAAUCCAGCUUUACAUCUUGAGUGAAAUAUAAUUUCAUAGGAAUGUAAUUCUGGAAUGAUCUCAUUGAAAAAGCACAUCCAGCAAAGGCCAUGAGCAGACUUCAGGCCAGCCCAUUCACACCCAGAGCCAAGAAGACUGCAGACCCCU